ACGGAGGCGCCCAAAGGUUCCCUCAACCUGGUUGGCAAUCAGGUGGCGAGUGUAAGUGCACAAGGGAGCUUGACUGUGAGACUGACAGGUCGAGGGACGAAAGUCGGGACUAGUGAUCCGGCAGUGGCUUGUGGAAGCGCUGUCGCUCAACGGAUAAAAGGUACCUCGGGGAUAACAGGCUGAUCUUGCCCAAGAGUCCAUAUCGACGGCAUGGUUUGGCACCUCGAUGUCGGCUCGUCGCAUCCUGGGGCUGGAGUAGGUCCCAAGGGUUGGGCUGUUCGCCCAUUAAAGCGGUACGCGAGCUGGGUUUAGAACGUCGUGAGACAGUUCGGUCCCUAUCCGCUGCGCGCGUAGGAAGGAUUUGAGAGGAUCUGACCCUAGUACGAGAGGACCGGGUUGGACGAACCUCUGGUGUGUCAGUUGUUCCGCCAGGAGCACCGCUGAUUAGCUACGUUCGGGAUGGAUAACCGCUGAAAGCAUCUAAGCGGGAAGCCGGCCUCAAGAUGAGAC
This 510-nucleotide non-coding RNA is filed under the name Microbacterium sp. SUBG005. Its description in RNAcentral is "bacterial LSU rRNA". It matches the Rfam family "Bacterial large subunit ribosomal RNA", at positions 2300 to 2810 of the family's 2925-position model. The record is from RNAcentral. Lineage: Bacteria; Bacillati; Actinomycetota; Actinomycetes; Micrococcales; Microbacteriaceae.